Meleagris gallopavo (turkey) is the source of this 1425-nucleotide non-coding RNA. The record is from RefSeq and is a predicted model, not a curated record. NCBI's taxonomy places the organism in Eukaryota, Metazoa, Chordata, Aves, Galliformes, Phasianidae.
CCUCUAGGCAUUUGUUGGUUUUUAUUGAAAAAGUAUAUGUUUAUUAUUUCCUUUUCUAACAUUGUCUUUUCUGUGCAUAAGCCCUUCAGUUAUCCACCAGAAGUUACUGCUGGUUGUGAUGCCAUGACACUUGGAGGGAAUUGCAGUCUGUUUGCCAUCAAUUCAAAUUUUAUUCCCUAUGUCAGGCUGGCCUCCACCUCCCAGAAAACACCGUCCCACCCAGUUCCUCGUCUGCAUUGCCUCCUGUUGACAACAUAAAUUCCCAGGCUCCUCCAAGUCACCUGAGACCUCAGAACGUGUCCCUGUCUAGGUCACACUUCUGUAGCCCCCCCUAUCCCAGCACAACAGCAGGAGCUGUGCAGUCAUCCUCACAGCAGUGAUUUGGAGUGAAGGAUGUGAUAUGAAGAACAUCUAUGGUGACACAAGGAAACUUGCAGUUGUCAUUAGGGACAGUGCACUUAAUGAGGAGUAACUCACGGGAGGCAUCCCCCAUCUGAUAUGCUACAGGGGGAACUGAAAACAGUUUCCAUGCAGGGAGAACCAUGCAGAGCUGACUGAGGAGCAUCCACAUCACACUCAUGCAGACAAGGGCAGUGCUUGAGCACGAUCUCUGUUCUCUGCAGAGCACAGGAGUGAAGCUUUGAAACUGGGACCUCAGGGAUGCCACCAUGCCCUCCUGCUCCAGGCACCACCAGGAGCUCUGCUAUAUGACCACACUGCAAAAUACUCAACUGAGGAGAUAUUUAAAGAAAAAUCUGAAUCAAAUCUAGCAAAAUUGACAGAGAGGUCAUUCAUGGAGAAUAAACGUGAACAUUCUCAUGUGAGUUUCUGCAGUUAUUUUUCUCAUUAAAUCUGUUUUGUGGGUUAUAAAGUGGGUAUAAAUUUCUUGUUUUAGGAAAAGAUGUGGUAUCUUUGCAAUUCAAAACACCCUUAUUCAAAUUAGCUCAGUUGAUGUUUAAUAGGAGUGGCACUAAAAUACUUCAUUCUGACUGACAGAAAUAAAGCUCUGCCUUUUUUUUAUCUCUAUGGAAUUUAUACUUCACCUCCAAAAUAAGUAAGAAAAAACUUCACAAACUAUCAGUGCAAAACUGUGCUGUAUUUUUGCAUGUGUCUGUAGGCAGACAGCUUGAAAAAAUUCUGAAAGGGGCCUGAAAUAUUCUAUUCCUCUGAACUUUGCCUGAGCUCGGAGACCUGUUAACACAAAACCAGAUGGGUCUCUGUAAUAACCAUCCUGAAAACUGUUGACUGGGAUCAAAUCUCCGGCUUUUGACUGCUCUAGUGAGAUGGAUAUAGCUGGGAUCUGCAAUCUCAGGUAGCCAGUGCAAGCUUCAGUGGUAGCAAGGGAAACAUACUCCCAUGCUGGGUGAAUUUCAUGUUGACUUCGUACCUUAUGAAAUCAAAACUCACAGAAAAACUUCCGCAUCA